GCCCGAAACUUUCCGAGUUGCUCAAUAGGCUUGUCUCCGGUGGGGUCCUUGAAAAACAAUUCAUCAUGCCAUUGGGGGCACCCUGGUUAGCUCUAUAGAAAUGCAAUGUAGGUUGCAUAUCUCCUCUGGGAAUGAAGAUCAUUCCA
Non-coding RNA from Caenorhabditis elegans, 146 nucleotides. NCBI's taxonomy places the organism in Eukaryota, Metazoa, Nematoda, Chromadorea, Rhabditida, Rhabditidae. The record is from Ensembl.